AGCUCCUAUUUCUGCCCCAAAUUCAUUGUCAGUAGAAUUAUGGGUUCUGGUGACGGAGGAAAUCAAGCCAUAUGACGGGCAUUCACUACUUUUGAUACAACCAGUGUUUGUUUUGUUGUAUGGAUCGUGCAAUGGCUUUGUAUCCGUGGCAUGGUUUAUUGUUUGUUAAGAUAUUCAAUAGACCGGAUCGGCUGUGCUAUAUUU
Molecule: small nucleolar RNA, 204 nt
Filed under: Candida maltosa Xu316
Lineage: Eukaryota; Fungi; Ascomycota; Pichiomycetes; Serinales; Debaryomycetaceae
Description: Small nucleolar RNA snR43
Rfam family: Small nucleolar RNA snR43
Source: Rfam by way of RNAcentral